Molecule: long non-coding RNA, 1907 nt
Organism: Homo sapiens (human)
Lineage: Eukaryota; Metazoa; Chordata; Mammalia; Primates; Hominidae
Exons: 2
Source: RefSeq, a predicted model, not a curated record
GGUGGAGGGGCCGGGCGCGAGGCCGCGGAGACAGCUCGGAGCUCGGCACUGGGGAGUGGCACAGCGCUGGCGGAUCCAGGGGCCUCCUUCCUCUUUCAGCUGUGCGCCCUGGUUGUGGAGGCUCCUAAGGAGGUUGUGGCCUCGGUUUACCACCUGCCUUGGCUCCUUGGUGUUGCCAGACCCUGAAGGCAGCCCAUGCCCUGGCUGAGAUCCUUCUGGGGCGGGAUGUGCUGGAAGCAGCUGAACCACGUGGUGAUGUACCAGCUCCUGCUGUCCCCUACAUCCCCAGCACCGCCAGCCUUCCCUGGGCUCCUCCGGCCGGCUCCUCUACCCUGUACCCGCCCCACCCUGCUACCACCCCCCAACCAGACUUCCAGCUCCAGGCAGGGUCGCAGCCUCCUGGGCUCCCAGCAGGACAGGCCUCACCCAGACCCCGCAGGAGCCAUGGGACUUGGGCUGGGUCUUUGGGCCUGGCUGCAGCCCCUUUGGACCUGACCUGAGGAGACACCCUGGCUGUGGGAGGCAGGGUGGGGGUGCCGGGCCCAGCACAGAGGUGCCCAGGGUGCAGGCUGGCACUGGCCCGGCAGGGACCGUGGAUGCCGCCGUUUCAGGCUCGAAAAGGUUUCCAUGCCCCAGAGCCUGAGCCCGGCAGCCCCCGAGGAUGUCUUGGGGACUCUGUGCUCCCCAAAGCCGAGAAGGUUAGGCUUGACCCACAGCCUCUUCCAGGCCGGGGAGGCAGAGGCGCUCCAGGUCGGUAGGGCGGGGCCCACAGCCCAGGGUUUCACGUCCCCAAAACGGGGCAGGGUGCUGGAGGCGCAGGUGUCCACAGGGUGGUCGUUUUGGUCUCUCCUGGACUUGCACGCGUGUAGUGCAGACUGGCUGCCGGCAAAGCCCUGAGCCACAUUCAUCUGGGCCUUGUUAGGACAACAGGGACGGUGCGGGGUGGGGGGGUUGCGGGGCGCAGGACCACGUCAGUGGAGGGAGGGAGGCCGAUAUCGGUGCCCAGGCUGGGCCCAGGGGCCAGCGGGUCCUCACCUGGCUUGUGGCUGCCCCUGUUAGGCAGCCCGGAUGGAGGGGCUCUUCCAGCCCUGCUGGCCCCGGGAAUGCAGGGACUCAAUUCCCCCUGGUCUCAGUGGCUCUUCCGGGAGCAACACAGCCUGCCCGAGUCGACACCACCCCUCGGGUUUGAGUCCCUUCUGUCUACCCCUACCCCCGCCAGGGCACUGCCCCCUUGCCCGGAAGAGGCAGCGGCACCCCCAGCCCCUUGGGGAGGAUGCCCUGCCGGCCCCACACUCGGUGGAUGGGCAUUUUGGGGCUAGGAUUUAAUGGGGGUGACCCUGCCCGACCCCUCUAUGUUGGUUCCACGGCGUCAGAAGAAAGCUGUUAUUAACCCAGCUUAUUUUCUACAAGUCUUGUUUAUUGAAAGGAUCUGAAAAGCGUAAUAAGGCUUUCAAUGACAUUUAAUACAUUUUCAAGAAAUUAAUAUGAAACAUUAAAAUUUACUUCAAAAAUCCAAAGUUUUCUAGAUCAUUCCCAUCUCACGCUGCUUUAGAGGUCAGUUCACACCUUCUGUGUUCAGAUGAGCGGCUGGAAUUCUGAACACUGCCGUCUUCCAGCCCUAACGCUGGGCGCUGGUCCCUCUCUCCUAAGCCCACGGCUGGGCUUCCCCUGUGCCCAGGGUCAUGGCGGACUUCAAGCCAGGCCGGCUGCCCAGAAUCACACUCAGGGUUUUUGGACGCUCAAGUCCACAGAUGCUGAGGUGCCCAGACGAGGGUGAGCAGGGAGACACAUGCCUCGGAGAACGUGCCCAGGCUGGGCCAGGCGGCUGCGGGAAGCUCCUCACGGGCAGAGGAGAACGUCUUGUGCCUUCCUUAUCGAUCUCCAGCAGAUGAGGGCAACUUCGUGUG